UUGUUCAUGAGUAUCUGGAGCUAUGAGAUAUGUCCAUUCCACACUCAUACUUGUUGUUUGGUUGGAAAAAUAAAAUAAAAUUUCAAACCCAUACUUUAAACCCGAAGGUAUGGGUUUUUCAUACCAAAGUGGGGUGGUGAGUAUGAGAUGGAGGUAUAAGAUGCAUUAUUUUUUAUUUUUUUUGUCUCUAUUUAAGUAAUGAAAUAUUAUUGUUUGAUACAAAAUUAAAUUAAUGAUGCGUCGAGGAGUUGAGGUGAUCAUAAUUUAAGUAAUUUUUUUAAAUCAAUAUAAAUUUAUAACUUAUUUUUUACAAAAAUCGUAUGCAUAUUGAUCCCAGCAUUCAACCAAAACAUGAUAUCAUAUAUGAUACCUCAAACCCAUACCAACUUAACCUUAACCCGAUUCCUCAUUUCAACCUCAUAUCAUUCCUCGAACCAAACGAUCCCGAGAAUUCUUUUCAAGCUGGUUACAGCAUACAUUUUGCUCAAAGAAAAUUAUAUCUGUUUUAAAUAAUACUAUUAAAUACUCUCCACCAAGAUUCCACAUCUUUCUUCUUCUGGAGGACUAAGAACUCAGCGACUCCUCAAGAACUCCGAUGUGAUAUGUCCUUGAAUAAAACAAAGGAGUUCUUGAUGAUAAUUAAAAUGUCAUAUGUAUGAAAUACUAGAGUUCAAUAAUAACUGAUUUGAAUUAACUCGUUUAUAGAUAGAAAUGUGAAAAGAUUAAAAACGUCGAGAAGAUGUUGGAGUUCAAUCCCAGCUUGAGGAUUGCACGCUCAGUCAUCUUACAACUUAUUACACCAGUUUAAAUUCAGAAAUUAAUUGAAGUCACCGACUUAAAAUUUAAGCAAAUAAGCUCCAAAUCACAUUACUCCUUACAAGUUUUAAAACAAAAGCUCAUAUUUUCAACUCCUUACAAGUUUUUUUUGCCUUUAACACAAACGAGUUAAAAAAAAAUAGAAACCGAUUUCGUAUAAAAAAAACCGAAAGUGGGUCUUGCCAAACAGACACUUCUUGACACAAAUAAAAUUGAACUCUCUUAAAUGGAAAAGGAGGGGGCUCAAGGCUAAAUUAACUUGCAAUUCAAGUUAAUCAUCCAACCCUUUCCAUAAGCAUGACUAAAUUAUACUCCUAGGUUAUCGAUAUUAUGACAAAAUUAUACUCUAAAUUAUUGAUCACUUGAUAUUACGAUCAAUGAUAUGAUAAGUAAAUUGAAAACAGCAUAUGGUUGAUUGAAUUGACUCACGUGACAAAGAUGAGCACUCGUAGGCCUGUUCGCGAACCGAGCUGUUCGCGAACAAGCUCGUGUUCGGCUCGUUAAGAACUCGUUCGGCUCGGUUCGUUUAUAAAAUCGAGCUCGAGCUCGAACUCGAAAAUCUGUUCGUUAAGCAAAACGAUCUCGAGCCGAGUUUCAGUAUGUUCGGCUCGAGCUCGGCUCGUGUUCGGCUCGAUCUCGUUCGGCUCGAACUCGCUCGUUAAAAGCUCGAUAAAUUAUGAAUUGUACCCAGAAUAUUUUUAUAAUACUAUACCUUUCUAACUUCUGGACUUAGCCGUUUAGGAUAUCAUCUCAAGAUUUAGAGAAGAAAGAUACAAUCAUCCUCUAUAUCAACGCACUUACUUGCUUCCAUGCUUCCAGAUCGCUAAGUGUGUUAGUCAAAUGCUUCCAGAUGCAUUCCAUUAACACCCUGCAGAUCAUAGUAGUUUGGAUUCUGGGUAAACCUCCUGUACAAGAAUGUCCGACUGAGGUUAUUUGGCUUGCUUGUAGUGACGUGAACCACCACCUGGUUUUCGAAUCUGAGAUUGGUUUUGGGGAUAUAAGAACUACGGAUUAAGAGAUUAGGGAACGAAUGAACCCCUGGGUAUAGUAUAUGUUUAGGUUUUUUGAUUGUUGGGCUGGGGUUUUUUUGGGCUGG
RNAcentral lists this long non-coding RNA (1912 nucleotides) under Daucus carota (carrot). RNAcentral describes it as "long non-coding RNA (DCAR_LNC002305)". Lineage: Eukaryota; Viridiplantae; Streptophyta; Magnoliopsida; Apiales; Apiaceae. The record is from RNAcentral.